This 806-nucleotide ribosomal RNA is filed under the name Streptomyces sp. RNAcentral's name for it is "bacterial SSU rRNA". It matches the Rfam family "Bacterial small subunit ribosomal RNA", at positions 63 to 883 of the family's 1533-position model. The record is from RNAcentral. Lineage: Bacteria; Bacillati; Actinomycetota; Actinomycetes; Kitasatosporales; Streptomycetaceae.
CGAACGAUGAACCACUUCGGUGGGGAUUAGUGGCGAACGGGUGAGUAACACGUGGGCAAUCUGCCCUGCACUCUGGGACAAGCCCUGGAAACGGGGUCUAAUACCGGAUACUGACCACUGCAGGCAUCUGUGGUGUUCGAAAGCUCCGGCGGUGCAGGAUGAGCCCGCGGCCUAUCAGCUUGUUGGUGAGGUAAUGGCUCACCAAGGCGACGACGGGUAGCCGGCCUGAGAGGGCGACCGGCCACACUGGGACUGAGACACGGCCCAGACUCCUACGGGAGGCAGCAGUGGGGAAUAUUGCACAAUGGGCGAAAGCCUGAUGCAGCGACGCCGCGUGAGGGAUGACGGCCUUCGGGUUGUAAACCUCUUUCAGCAGGGAAGAAGCGAAAGUGACGGUACCUGCAGAAGAAGCGCCGGCUAACUACGUGCCAGCAGCCGCGGUAAUACGUAGGGCGCGAGCGUUGUCCGGAAUUAUUGGGCGUAAAGAGCUCGUAGGCGGCUUGUCGCGUCGGUUGUGAAAGCCCGGGGCUUAACCCCGGGUCUGCAGUCGAUACGGGCAGGCUAGAGUUCGGUAGGGGAGAUCGGAAUUCCUGGUGUAGCGGUGAAAUGCGCAGAUAUCAGGAGGAACACCGGUGGCGAAGGCGGAUCUCUGGGCCGAUACUGACGCUGAGGAGCGAAAGCGUGGGGAGCGAACAGGAUUAGAUACCCUGGUAGUCCACGCCGUAAACGGUGGGCACUAGGUGUGGGCAACAUUCCACGUUGUCCGUGCCGCAGCUAACGCAUUAAGUGCCCCGCCUGGGGAGUAC